UGAAUAUUAGAAAACACUGCUGCAACCUGAAGUUCCUUGUUAAUGUUCACAUUCUUCAUUCAUGCAGAACACACAGGAGUAGGAAGCUCCGCUGGGAACACCAGACACGCACCCGCGCUCAUCAGGCAGACUGUGCCCACUCUCCGCCGCAGCCGGCGGCAAUCCACGCCUGACAUAGCUGGCGUUGAUGAAGGACGGCAGUAUGAAGACGGUCGACGCUGACUCAUCGACGUCCGAACGUAAAUCUACUACCCCGCUCGUGUCACCACUGCUGUUUCCCUCCUGGACCUGGUUUGCCUUCCCCGAUCCUUGACCCUGCUUUUGGACUUUCGGACUCUCUCUCCUGCCUUUGACCCCCGCUUGGACCUUGGACUUCCCCUGGCUUCUCUCCCCCUCGGAUUUGGACGCUGAACAUCCAAUACGCACCUCAACAAACCUCACGGUAUUCACAUAUGGAACGUCAACAACACGUCCGUCUUGUUCUUCAACGAUUACUAGAAGACGUGAAUCUUCGUCAAAGCAGAUAAAUGUGAGUUUAAUUCCUCUUCUGUUGAGUUUCCUGGCUUUGUCAUCAAGGCUGACCCCAAGAAGGUGAAGGCGGUAGUGGAGUGGCCCCAACCCUCUACCUGUACCGAGUUAUGUCGUUUUCUGGCCUUUGCUGGAUUCUAGAGACAAUUUAUCAAGGACUUCAGUAAGCUGGCCGCACCACUUCAUGCACUCUCUUCCACCAAUGUACCUCUUCGGUGGAACCAGGAACCAGGUAUGGCAUUCUGGUGCCUGAAGAGGAGCUUUUCAUCCCUGCACCCAUCCUGGUGUACCCUGAUCAAGACUGCCCAUUCAUAGUCGAGGUAGAUGCUUCUGAUUCGGGAGUUGGCGCAGUGCAUUCGCAACGCUCCAAGCAGGACAACAAAUCCACCCCUGUGCAUUUUUUCGAGACGCUUAUCUCCUGCAGAGCUCAAUUAUGAUGCUGGUAAUCGGGAGUUACUUGCUGUUACGAGGCUUUAAAGGAGUGGAGACAUUUGUUGGAGUUGGAGGGUGCUAAAUAUCAAUUUCAGGUUCCUAUUGAUCACCGUAAUCUUCUCCAUGUCCGAGCCGCCAAGAGGCUUAAUGAUCGACAGGCCCGUUGGUCCCAGUUUUUUGUUCACUUCAACUAUGUUCUCUCUUUUAGACCUGGAUCUUGUAACACCAGGGGCGGAGCUAGAGGGGAGGCCAGGGUAGCACUGGACCCCCCUGAAAUCUGAUUGGACCCCCCAGGUGCCACCCCAGAUCAUUGACAUAUCGCGGCACCGCACGUCUUGUCGGAAGGAGCCAGUUGCAUUUUUAAAUCAGUGAAGCCUAUUGACUGCUAAGUCCCUCCCGUACAGUAGUUGGCGCUAUGUACCACAAAGCUUUGCGAGCCACGUUCAUUAGGGGAGAAGAAGAAUCGCCAUUGAAGAAGAGGAAAAUUUAAAUUGGAGUCGGUUAUCGUUGCUGGAGACCGGAGAGCCGGAGAUCAACGAAGGUACAAAGAAAAAGAAGGAUAACCUUCUCGUCGUAAAGUAAGUUUUACGGUGGUGUCCUAAUGAGUCACUGUUUAAAAUAACUUUUGUAGAUAGAAGUUUUUUUUUUCUACAAGCAGAGAGCCACGGCAUUAAGCAAACGUUAAUGUUACAUCUCAUGGCGUCUUGCUUCCAACAGCCGCUAACGUCUCGUUUAAUUAAUUUGGGUCGCUAUUUAUAUUUACGUGUUUCUCCAAUGAUUGUAGAGCAGUGGUUCUCAAAUGGGGGUACGCAUACCCCUGGGGGUACUUGUAGGUAUGCCAAGGGGUACGUGAGAUUUUUUGAAAAUAUUCUAAAAAUAGCAACAAUUCAAAAAUCCUUUAUAAAUGUAUUUAUUGAAUAAUACUUCAACAAAAUAUGAAUGUAAGUUCAUAAACUGUGAAAAAAAAUGCAACAAUGCAAUAUUCAGUGUUGACAGCUACAUUUUUUGUGGACAUGUUCCAUAAAUAUUGAUGUUAAAGAUUUCUUUUUUUUUGUGAAAAAAUGUUCAGAAUUAAGUUCAUGAAUCCAGAUGGAUCUCUAUUACAAUCCCCAAAGAGGGCACUUUAAGUUGAUGAUUACUUCUAUGUGUAGAAAUAUUUAUUUAUAAUUGAACACUUGUUUAUUUUUCAACAAGUUUUUUGUUAUUUUUAUGUCUUUUUUUUCUCCAGAGUUCAAGAAAAGCCAUUACAAAUGAGCAUUAUUUUGCACUCUUAUACAAUUUAAUAAAUCAGAAACUGAUGACAUAGUGCUGUAUUUUACUACAGUAUCUAUUUUUUUUUUAACCAAAAUUGCUUUGCUCUGAUUAGGGGGUACUUGAAUUAAAAAAAUGUUCACAGGGGGUACAUCACUAAAAAAAGGUUGAGAACCACUGUUCUAGAGGAAUGAACCUAGCGGAGAAUCAGCCAGCCAGCUAGCUGUUUCAUGCUCUGUUGUAACGUAACGUUCACAUGGUAGUUAGCCUGCUGUCAACUAACUGAAAAGUCUGAAUAUUAAACUUAGGUCUACAGUGGUUUAUUUGCCCAGACAUGUUUUAGGCUUGAAGUGGAGAUUUAAUAACACUGUGAUUGUAAGUGAUGCCUGGAGUAACGUUAACAAGACUUGCUUAUUUUUUCAUAGGGUCAGUUGAGAAUGAAAAGGCAGGGGGAGAAGAUUUAUGACCUCUUUUUAAAAAGAAGCAAGUCAGGGUCGGGAAAAGAUGAGGCAGACAGACAGCCAGGAUUCAGGUCUGCCAGCAGUCCUGGCAGCUCCCAUCCUGGGACGAGUCAGGAGGAGAGAGAAUGUGAUGCACACAGCCCAUCAUCACCAGGUCAGAGCAUAGAAGCAGUCACAUGCUCACUUGAGUAAUUUUAAGUUACAGGGUUACUACGCUGGUAUGGAAAGUUUGGAAUUUCUACAUUUCCAGGUCUGUAGUAAUAUGGAAGAUGGAAACAAUUGUAUGGAAAUAUAUUUAUACUUAUCUGGGUUAUCUUAAGAUUUGUGGGUUAAUUAUUUUGCAUACACUACCUAUCUACAAUCUUCUGGAAAUAAUUUGGUGACUUAAUGGCAUACAAAUUCAAUAAUGAUAACACAUGAUUUCCAUGAUGAAUUGCAUAAUUUAUUCACAUGAUAUACUCAUCUCAAAUGUCACAAAUUAUUGGAUUCUUUUUUAGAUUUUUUUUUUUUACUGAGAAGUCUCCGUAUUAGGGUCUGGAAAUUUCAAAUGUGUAGGAACCCCUAAGUUUAUUUUUAGAUGUUCUGAAGUGUUGGUUACUGAUGUGUGUUGUUUUUUUAUGGUGGUUGUAUGUUAAUUUAGCUUACACUAAUAUUUUCAUUUUUAUACAAUGUAGUUCCAUUAGACACAGAAGAAAAAGAGGGCAGCUCCCUUCCUGGGACUAGUCGGGAUAGAGAACUCACAACACAGCAAAGCCCAUCUUCACCAGGUCAGAGCAUGGACAGAAACAGUCACAUGCUCAGUUCAGUAAUUAAGUUGCCAAGUUGUGUUUUAAAUUUUCUGCAUUGUUAAUAAACUGCAAAUUAUAUAUACAUAAAUUUCAUCUCCUGAGUGCUUAAUAUGUACAUUUCAACAUUUGCCGCUCCAAUUGCAAUUGAUAAGUCAAGAAAACAAUUAAUUGUUAUAGUCUGUGAAAUAGCCUUGGCCACCCCCUGGCCACCCCAAGGAUAAAAGUCUAGCUCCGCCACAGUGUCACACCAAAGUUGAUGCACUCUCUCGCCAGUUCUCGGAAGAGACACACACACACU
Nerophis ophidion (straightnose pipefish) is the source of this 3758-nucleotide long non-coding RNA. RefSeq lists it as uncharacterized. The transcript is spliced from 4 exons. Lineage: Eukaryota; Metazoa; Chordata; Actinopteri; Syngnathiformes; Syngnathidae. The record is from RefSeq and is a predicted model, not a curated record.